This 66-nucleotide transfer RNA is filed under the name Marmota monax (woodchuck). RNAcentral's name for it is "tRNA.Leu". The record is from RNAcentral. Lineage: Eukaryota; Metazoa; Chordata; Mammalia; Rodentia; Sciuridae.
GGUUUGUGGCUCAGUGGUAGAGUGCUUGCCUAACUCAUGAGGCCCUGGGUUCAAUCCUAAGCACCA